AGUGAACGCUGGCGGUAGGCCUAAUACAUGCAAGUCGAACGGCAGCACAGUAAGAGCUUGCUCUUACGGGUGGCGAGUGGCGGACGGGUGAGGAAUACAUCGGAAUCUACUUUUUCGUGGGGGAUAACGUAGGGAAACUUACGCUAAUACCGCAUACGACCUACGGGUGAAAGCAGGGGAUCUUCGGACCUUGCGCGAUUGAAUGAGCCGAUGUCGGAUUAGCUAGUUGGCGGGGUAAAGGCCCACCAAGGCGACGAUCCGUAGCUGGUCUGAGAGGAUGAUCAGCCACACUGGAACUGAGACACGGUCCAGACUCCUACGGGAGGCAGCAGUGGGGAAUAUUGGACAAUGGGCGCAAGCCUGAUCCAGCCAUACCGCGUGAGUGAAGAAGGCCUUCGGGUUGUAAAGCCCUUUUGUUGGGAAAGAAAAGCAGCAGGUUAAUACCCCGCUGUUCUGACGGUACCCAAAGAAUAAGCACCGGCUAACUUCGUG
RNAcentral lists this ribosomal RNA (492 nucleotides) under uncultured bacterium. RNAcentral describes it as "partial 16S ribosomal RNA". It matches the Rfam family "Bacterial small subunit ribosomal RNA", at positions 29 to 507 of the family's 1533-position model. The record is from RNAcentral.